GCUCCUGGCGGGGGAGGCGCAGGGAGAUCGGCCCGGACACCGGCUCUGUUUCCGCCCCGAUUUCCCGGUCGCCGCUCCGGGACCCGGCGUCCGACCACCGCUCCCAGGCACCAGGGCGGCCCCUCUCGCUCGGGCCCGACCCCGCCGCUCAGGGGCCCGGGACCGUUUCUUCCGCGUCCCGGCCCUGAGCAGACGCUGCCUGUCCAGGUCCCUCAGGCCUCUUCUCCUGCCGUCUCGCAUCCCUGAAACGAAGGUCACGCGGUCCUAGACCCAAAGGCAAUUUCUGGCCCUGCCGACUGACCCGCGGUCGGAGCGCUGCGGCCCAGCCGCGCCCCCACCCGGAGCCCGCGGCGGCGAUUGCGCGCAAUGGCAGAGGCCGCGGCUUCUCACCCUGCACCGGGCCCAGGAGGCCGCGAAGGUGGCUGAUCGUCCGCCUCCAUCUGUGGCCAUAUGAUUCCUCUUUAGUAUUGGAGACAGCACAUUCCAUACCUGAGAAUUUUCUGGGACUCCGUGGAUCGAGCCACCGAACUGCAGCUAAAGUUGAAUGGAUGUCAUGGAAGUGGUUCAGUUGAGUGUGAAGCAAGGGCUGCCCUUGUCCUCUAUCCUCCCCCAAAACCACGCGGUUACAGGUGUCACGGAUCAAUUCUACAGCUGGCUGUAGCUGUCGGAAAUGAGACUCCCCUACUUUUCAGGUCCUGGGCUUUUUUAACUUGAGAAAAUCCUCUAACUCUAAGGAGUACAAGCUCUUUAAGAAAUAACUGCACUGGUGUUACUGAACCCUAAUGAAGACACAUAAUUUCACCAAAGAAAAAGUUGUGACUUCUUAUCCUGCAAGGGGAUUUCUUUGGUCCCAAAUACCAUAAGGUAGUACAAGUGCAAAAAUGUUCCCAUAAGAAAUGGAGAUGUCACUCUUAUCCAGCAGCCACAGGACACUAACACCAGUCACCACCGGAGCUCUCGGAAGCUGGGGCAGGAGGUCUGGGAAGCACAUGCUGAAGAGCUCGGCCUGCAGCACUGAUGGGAUGGCUCCAAAACCCCGCUGGAGAUUGCUGUGACUCUCCAGAACCUCUGAGAAAGUUCCUGUCACUCAUCGUGGUCUGCACAGGCAGAGCAGUAAUUUUUAGAGACGAGUGUCAUUGUGAAGCAUGUGGUGACUACGAGAGGAAAGUAACCAGCUCCAGCGUCCCACCUAGUCACCAGGUGACUCAGCCUGAGACCUUGAUGGCAACUGCUGUACCCAAAGGCAAAAGAGGCCAUCUGCAGGGCAGACAGAACUUUUUCACAAGAGUCUCCUGGUGGGAUGACACUUGGCAUGUGUGAUGUGAUCUCAAGAAUCUGAGAGAAGGAAGGAGGCCUCAGGAUAGUGUGUGCGUGCACGUGUGUGUGGGACUGCAGCUCAGGCCAGGACUGCAGAAACAGCCCAAAGCUUGGAACUGAGAAUUCCUACAGAAGGUCCCAGAAACAUGUUGAGAAGAAGAGGAAAAUGAGAAGAGACCAUGAUAGUGGUGAGCAAGUGAGGAUAUUUUCUUAGGCUUGCAAAUUUACUCUUCAAAAUCAUCGAUAAUGCAUCAGUGACAGAUCCAAAACAUUUAUUUAAUUUCCUCUAGACACAAUGACAGACUAUGGCAAUGUAGUGUUCAAAGAGACUUUGAUUUAGUCAAGGAGACCCAUCCAUUCGCUGUAAUGGGGACCGUGGCCACAGAGAGUGGGGAGGGAGUCUGUGCUGGAGCACGUGCCAAUCCCCAAGGCUCCCGCGGGAGCUGCCACUGCGCCCUCCACAUUGGUGGGCGUGGCCUCACCCAGGGUUCCCUGCAGGGAACAGCCGCUGGCUACUUCUGGGUUCCCCUCACUUGCCUGCCAUCUCCUGGCCUCCCUGAAUCACUGACGGCUAUGCCCUGUAGAUGCCAUUCUGCAGAGCCUAAGAUAAAAAAGAUGCCAUGAAGAUUACCGAGGAGGAAGGGGAGUUGGUUUGCCUGGACCAGCUUCAUCAAGCAGUGCAGGUGAAGACGCGCUGCUAACCAAACUGUGCUGCUGAUUUUCAAAAUCCUGAAUGAGCACGAAUCCACAAUGGAGUCAAAAAGAGUCUUCUUAUCAUCAAAAGAGAAAACAGACUUCAGGAUCAGUUACCUCAGCAAACACAGGCCCUGGGAAGUCAUGUUGUCUCAUAUACCGUCACUUCUUUGCAGCAACUUCCUGUCUG
Non-coding RNA from Microcebus murinus (gray mouse lemur), 2200 nucleotides. The record is from RefSeq and is a predicted model, not a curated record. NCBI's taxonomy places the organism in Eukaryota, Metazoa, Chordata, Mammalia, Primates, Cheirogaleidae.